Molecule: long non-coding RNA, 363 nt
Filed under: Hordeum vulgare
Lineage: Eukaryota; Viridiplantae; Streptophyta; Magnoliopsida; Poales; Poaceae
Description: long non-coding RNA (HVUL_LNC005760)
Source: RNAcentral
GGUCGUCGGCGUAGGCGGCCCAGAAGCGGGCGACGGCGCGGUCGUGGGGGUCGGCGGGGAGGAGGGCGGGGCCGGAGCCGGAGCCGGGGAAGGCCUCGUCGAGGUACUGCACGAUGAGCAUGGACUCGCAGACGGGCUUGCCGCCGUGGAGGAGCACGGGGACCUUGGCGUGCACGGGGUUGGAGGCGAGGAGGAGGUCGCUCUUGCUGGUGAGGUCCUCCUCGGCGUACUCGUAGCCGGUGAUCCCCUUGAGGUGCAGCGCGACCCGCGCCCGGUGCACGAACGGGCUCGCCCAGAACCCCAGCAGCUUGAGCUCGUCGUCACUCCCUCCUCCGGCCGCCAUGUCGGACGGACUGAUUUCUC